CCUACGGGUGACAGCAGUGGGGCAUAUUGGGCAAUGGGCGCAAGCCUGACCCAGCAACGCCGCGUGAAGGAAGAAGGCUUUCGGGUUGUAAACUUCUUUUGUCAGGGACGAAGCAAGUGACGGUACCUGACGCAUAAGCCACGGCUAACUACGUGCCAGCAGCCGCGGUAAUCCGUAGGUGGCAAGCUUUAUCCGGAUUUAUUGGGUGUAAAGGGCGUGUAGGCGGGAAUGCAAGUCAGAUGUGAAACCUAUGGGCUCAACCCAUAGCCUGCAUUUGAAACUGUCUUUCUUGAGUGCUGGAGAGGCAAUCGGAAUGCCGGGUGUAGCGGUGAAAUGCGUAGAUAUACGGAGGAACACCAGUGGCGAAGGCGGAUUGCUGGACAGUAACUGACGCUGAGGCGCGAAAGCGUGGGGAGCAAACAGGAUUAGAUACCCCUGUAGUC
RNAcentral lists this ribosomal RNA (443 nucleotides) under uncultured bacterium. RNAcentral's name for it is "partial 16S ribosomal RNA". It matches the Rfam family "Bacterial small subunit ribosomal RNA", at positions 338 to 795 of the family's 1533-position model. The record is from RNAcentral.